RNAcentral lists this ribosomal RNA (207 nucleotides) under uncultured bacterium. RNAcentral describes it as "partial 16S ribosomal RNA". It matches the Rfam family "Bacterial small subunit ribosomal RNA", at positions 568 to 774 of the family's 1533-position model. The record is from RNAcentral.
CACGCAGGCGGUUUAUUAAGUCUGAUGUGAAAGCCCGGAGCUCAACUCCGGAAUGGCAUUGGAAACUGGUUAACUUGAGUGCAGUAGAGGUAAGUGGAACUCCAUGUGUAGCGGUGGAAUGCGUAGAUAUAUGGAAGAACACCAGUGGCGAAGGCGGCUUACUGGACUGCAACUGACGUUGAGGCUCGAAAGUGUGGGUAGCAAACA